UAUUUUAAUAUUUGGUGAUAAAUUGUGUUUUUGCUCAAACUGAUAUACUAGUAUGUAUGUAUGUAUGCAUGCAUGCAUGUGUGCAUCCCUUUCACAACUACAUACUAAAGUUCAAAGUUUAUUGGGUCAAUAGCUGCUGCAGUGCAUAAAUGUUGAAUGUAUUUAAAGAAACAGAAUCAUUGCAAAGCAAAGGGUUGGUUGAUUUAUUUAAUUGCUGUGAGAAAGCUCUAAAUACAAAUCUCGUAAGUUUGUGCUUCUAGGACUCACAUAUGUAUGUUUGUAUGGAUGUACAUACUAUACAUAGCAUUCAAAUUUUUCUCUCGCACCGGGAGUUCGUGCAACAUAUGCGGCCAACAGAACUUAACUCACCCGAAAAUAAAUUUAAAUCCGCUAAACGAUCGGCACUAAAUAUGUAUGUAUUGUAUUAUCUGUACGCAGCUAAAUUUGCAUAUCUAUGCACAUCUAUACUUUUACUGCUUACUGACAGCCAUUUGCUUAUCCACAUACUAAAAGUACAGUACAUAUGGCAAUUUAUUUUUAAUGUGUUACCAUGGGUAGGUACACAACAUUUGCUUAUUUAUUUUUUAUUUCUUUUGUUUUUGAGUAUUUAUCGAUGCACCUACAGCACAGUGGAAAUCAAUUUACUUUUAAUUGGCCUCCGCGUUUGCUCGCAAUCCAACUGAUUGCUUCGAACUUCGUCGCACUCGUAUUCGCGUUGGGCUUUUGCCUUGCAUUGCUUUGGCUUGAUGGCGCUUUCACAAACUGCAAAUUCUCAGUUUUACUGGCAGUUGCGGUCGAUUAAGUUUUGAAAAUUUUCGUUAAUUUUAAUUUAAACUAUUGACUAUGUGUGCUCGUUUGUAAUUGACAAGUGAAAUAUUGAAACAAAAACGAAAACAAUUAUUUUUAAAACACCGCAGCAUGAGGCAAUGAGCUGCCUUUUAUGGGCUGUAUCAGCCGGGCGGAUACAAUUUUUGAUUUAACACAAAUAACAACAAUACUGCGAGGCUGUUGAACUCUUUUGCUGGCAAUAACCUUAAAUUGGAGUUACUCGCCAUCAGCAUCAAAUACUCGUAGACAGAUAACACAUGAUUUUUCAGGAAAUUGGCUGAUUAAUCAUGAGUCGUCCUUCACAGCAACGCACAAUGCAGCAGCCAAAGGCGCCGAAGCAACACCUGACAGAGCAGGAGGCCAUCGCCGCCUCCGAGCUCUUCGAUCUCUUUUGUGUCGCAACGACAAUGCGACAGAUUUUAGGUUUACAUCGUGACAUGUGCGACAUACUCGGCUUGCGCUCAGCCCCGAUCAACGAAUUCUAUCCCAUGUUGAAAGCGAAAAUUCGUUCGUGGAAAGCGCAGGCGCUAUGGAAAAAAUUCGAUGCACGAGCGGCUCAUCGUGUAUAUGCGAAAGGAACAGCGUGCAAUGGUACGCAUGUGCUAGUCAUUGGCGCAGGCCCAUGUGGUCUGCGCACCGCCAUUGAGGCGCAAUUAUUGGGUGCUAAAGUUGUUGUGCUGGAGAAACGCGAUCGAAUCACACGCAACAAUGUGUUGCACUUGUGGCCGUUCGUGAUCACCGAUCUACGUAAUUUAGGCGCAAAGAAGUUCUAUGGGAAAUUUUGUGCUGGUUCUAUAGAUCACAUAUCUAUUAGACAGUUGCAAAUAAUUUUGAUGAAAGUGGCGCUGCUAUUGGGAGUCGAAAUACACGAGAAUGUGUCCUUUGAGCGGACAAUUGAGCCGAGUGGUGAUGGAUUUGGUUGGCGUGCGGCUGUAACGCCAGCGGAUCAUGUAGUUUCAUACUAUGAAUUCGAUGUUUUAAUCGGAGCCGAUGGUAAACGCAACACACUGGAAGGCUUUAAACGAAAAGAGUUUCGUGGAAAGCUUGCUAUUGCAAUUACGGCCAAUUUUAUAAAUAAGAAAACCGAGGCGGAGGCUAAAGCGGAGGAGAUAAGUGGUGUGGCUUUUAUAUUUAAUCAGUCAUUCUUCAAGGAGCUUUACGAGAAAACGGGUAUAGAUUUGGAGAAUAUCGUAUACUACAAAGACGAAACACAUUACUUUGUUAUGACUGCGAAGAAGCACAGCCUCAUCGACAAGGGUGUGAUUUUACAGGAUUUCUCCGAUCCUGCGGAAUUGCUCGCGCCAGCCAACGUUAGCGCCGACAAGCUGCUCGAUUAUGCACGCGAAGCGGCCGAAUUCUCCACAAAGUACCAAAUGCCAAAUCUUGAGUUCGCUGUUAAUCACUAUGGCAAACCGGACGUGGCCAUGUUUGAUUUCACAUCCAUGUUCGCCGCGGAGGCGUCAUGCCGUGUGAUUGUGCGCCACGGUUAUCGUUUGUUACAGUGUUUAGUGGGUGAUAGCUUGCUGGAGCCUUUCUGGCCCACUGGAUCGGGUUGUGCGCGCGGCUUUCUCUCUAGCAUGGAUGCCGCAUAUGCAACCAAAUUGUGGUCGAAUACACGUAACAGUAUUCUGGGUGUUGUGGCGCAACGUGAAAGUAUUUAUAGGCUCCUCAACCAGACCACGCCUGAAAAUUUACAGCGUGACACAGGCUCCUAUACUGUUGACCCAGCCUCAAGAUAUCCAAAUCUAAAUCGCACCGCUGUGAACCCGUUUCAAGUGAAAACCCUCGUGGACUCGGAUGAUCCGAAGAUAUUGGAGCAACCGAUUGCCGAAAUUGUCACAACACCAGCGUUGGCUGAGGCGUCAACGGUGUUGCGUAAGCCGCGUCGUAGUGCAGACAUUGUGCCUGAAGCUUUACUACAUUGGGUUUGUACACAACUACAUUUGUACGAUUUUGUUAAGGACAUAAAGGAGCCUGCCGACAUACUUAAGAAUGGAAAAUCACUCUGCGCCUUAAUUAGCCGUUUUCGGCCGGAUUUAAUUGACUAUGCAGCAACACGCGACUUAACCUCUGCUGAACGUAACUCAUUAGCAUUCAGGAUAUUGGAAGCCGAGUAUCAAACACCACGUAUUAUGACCGGCGAGAAGUCUAUGGAUUUAGAGAAGGUAGAUACGCGACUGUGGUUGCAUUAUUUAAAUCAAGUCCGCGAGGUGUUCCGAGGUGAAGUGCCGUAUUUAAAACAUCCCAAAAUGGACAUCACAGAAUUGCGCGAAAAGUAUCGUCUCAACAACGCGCAUGCGCAGCCAGACUUUUCGAAAUUGUUGCAACUCUCAACCAAGCCAAAAUAUCCGAAAGCCAAGAGUCCCAUCGAAGAUAUGGUUGAUGUGCCGCAAGUGGUGCAACGUCGUUCGGUAUUGGACGAGGAGCGUGUGAAACGUAUACGCAGGCAUGAGCCAGGCGCCGGCGGUCAGACCGCUGCGGGCAACUCACCACUACAAGGUCAAACUGAUACACCACGUCGUGCCAAAAAGAGGAGAAACGCCGAGAAGGCUGCAAAUAUUGAGGAACGUCAAAAGCGACUACAAGAAAUCGAAGAAAAUCGCCAGGACCGUCUAAGCAAACGUCGUCAACAACGGUACCAACAGACGCAGAAUUUUUACAAAAGCUUGCAAAUGUUGCAAGCCAACACGUUGCUGCGAGAAACCGAUGAUCCGACAGCAUUUGAGGACUACUCACUGUUCGUAUAUCGCCAACAAGCACCGGAAUUCAACGAUCGCGUAAAGGAUUUGGAGCGCAAAUUGCUGUUUCCUGAUCGCAAUCGGGGCGAUAUACCUUCAUCUAUGCCAAGGAAUAAUCCCGAUGAACAGUUUACCGAUCGUAUCAAAUCCAUGGAGCAACGUAUAAGCUCGAAAAACGCUUAUGGCACCGAUAAGAAGCCCAAGGACUUGAUGCGUGCUAUCGGGAAGAUCGACAGCACCGAUUGGAAUGUGCGCGAAAUCGAAAAGAAAAUCGAACAAUCAAAGCGAACAGAAAUACACGGCCCUAAAGGACGUGAGAAAGUGCCGAAAUGGAGUAAAGAGCAAUUUUUGGCUAGACAAAAUAAAAUGGCGAAACCGACACGCCAAGAAUCAGUGGAGGAGAAAUUCAAAGAGAUCGAUCAAACGUUGAAGAAUUUGGAUAAACAAUUGAAGGAGGGCUCAAUACUUGAAGUUGGAGAACGUGGCCGCAAUAAGGUCGCAUCGAUUGCUGGGCAAUUCGUGAAGAAAGAUGAUAAACCAAGCGACGAAAAGAAUCCUACCCCCACCACUGGCAAUGUAGUGCCGAAAUCAAGCGCUAAGGUUGCAUUAGCCUUCAAGAAACAAGCGGCUUCCGAAAAAUGCCACUUCUGCAAGCAAAUCGUUUACUUAAUGGAAAAAAUCACCGCUGAAGAUCUUGUAUUUCAUCGUUCGUGUCUAAAGUGUCAUCAUUGUCACACAAACUUACGUCUAGGCGGCUAUGCGUUCGAUCGAGAUGAUCCGAAUGGACGCUUCUACUGCACACAACACUACAGGCUACCCGCGAAGGCUAUACGCCCUGUAUUGCGGAAGCCUGGACAAAGGAAACCAACACAGCAACAGCAAGCCGCCGCAGCAGUAGCUGCAGCUUCAGAUGUUGCCGUUACAGCGGAUGCUGCAAGUGUUGGCGUCUCUCCUGUGGAUAUGCUCAAAACACCUGAUAAGUUGCGCGGUCCCGCCGACAGCGUUGUACAACUUGAUUUGUUGGAUCGUGGUCAAACACCAGAGCGUAUCGAAUUCGAAAAUACCGAUGCCAUGUCUGAUGGCGAGCCUUCGGAGGAGCAUAUACUCGACGAGCAUGAAUGGUCAGGUCGGAAUUUCUUACCUGAAUCGAAUCAAGAUUCUGAGUCGGAUCUAUCUAGUUCUGAUGACUCGGACACUGAAUCUGAUGCUGAUAUGUUCGAAGAGGCAAAUGACUCACCUUUGGGGGCACAAACUUUACAGUUGGCCACCGACUGGAUUGGCAAGCAACACUACUCCGAUAGUGAUGAUUCAGAUGACUUUUACGAUUCGAGUGAAGGCAUUGCGGAUGAUGAUGGUAAAGACGAUACGGAAGGGGAGGAUUUCAAGAAGGCUCGUGAACUGCGUAGAGAAGAAGUGCGUCUACUGCCACUGCCCGCUAAUUUACCCACUGAUACCGAGACUGAGGUUAAACUACCAGAUGAAAAUAAUGACAACAAAGAAAAUGUGGAAAUUAUUGAAUUAGGUAAUAAAGUUCUUGAAAAGUCAGAGUCAAAUCAAAAUCUUAAGCCAGAGAUAGAUAAGUCCUCCGAAAAGUCAUACAAUUCAGAUAAGUCGUUCAAAUCGGCCGCUUCGACAAAUGCCCAAUUUUCCGUCCCGCCACCUACUAAAGCUGACAUAGAGAAAUUAGAGCAAAUUACUGGGCGCCGAUUCAGCGCUGAAAUUGAGGCAAUCAAUGAAAAAUUGCAUCGUCUCAACAGCGUUGUGAAAAUGAGCAGAGAUCUUGAAACUAUAGCAAAAGAAAAUUUAGUAAAGAGCGACAUACUCAAAAAAUUGACUAUGAAAGAAAAAUGGUUAUCGGACAGUUCUGUUGGCAACUCGAAUCCAUUAGCACCCAAAUCGACAUUUGAAAACCGUUUUACACCAAAACAAGAUGCCUUAAAAGAGCAGCAAAAUAAUGCAGAAGAUGUCGAGGUAAAUGUGAAUGGCGUUGAAGCAAAAGUUCAAAAACCUGCUGCUAAUUCAGUUGAAACGAUUUUAAAUAAUAUAAAAACCGAAAUUAAAUCUGAAACUAACAGCAAUGCGGCCAAAAGUGAUAUUCAAACACCUAUUGUAACACCCUUAUCACAUAAAGCUACUUCACCGGAGGAGGUAUUGGAGAGUUUAAAAGCAGAGAUUAAGACUGCUUCCCUCAAUCGUACGGGUAGCCUUAAAAGGCAACAACUUAGUCCAACUGCCAGUCCUGGUGCUAGUAAAAAGCCCAGUGCAAGUAACAGUCGUUCCAACAGUUUCAAAAAUAAGACUUCAGCCAUUUCCAAAGACCCAAACAAAAGCGGCGAAAUCAGUCGCACAAACAGUCUAAAGCGUUCCGAGAAAUUUACCUCAAAGGAUGAAGUAAUUGGAAAUGAUAGUCGCAUGCAAAUACAAAAUAUACUGGGCCUAGUGAAGAGUGUCGAUAAUAAGAGUGAACAAGACUCAAGUAAAGAUAAACCUAUUGGCGCUAAUAAGUCAAAUUCAGAUAUCGGUAAAUUGCUUUAUGAUGCAGAGAGUAAAUUCUCACCGAAGGUCGAUAGGCGCUUGAUGCAGGAGAAAUUGAAAGAGAUCGAGACAAAGAGCUUUUCGGGCACAAUGGACGCCAUAAAAUCACAAAUGGUUGUGCCAACAAUUAGUUCGCAAGCAAAUCCAUCUGUCGAUCUGUCCAAAUACUUUCCAGACCAGAAACAACAGAAAUCGAAUGCCAUUUCGGUUAAUAAAAACCAGAAGAAUCUAAAAGAUGUUGAUUUAGGCAAAUAUUUCCCUAGCAGUCCCACACCCCCACGUCGCAGUGCCGUAGUCACUGUGGCAGAUAAGUUGAAGAAAUCGCAAACGGAAAACGCUAUUGCGCCUGCCGCAGUUGCAUCCACAGAUGCAAGUGCUUCUAUUAGCAGUAUGACAAAUAAGGGAAAUGGAAAAAAAUCUCCGGCGAUUGGGCCCAGACGCCAAGCUUCACUAGGAAAUGCUGCAUUUAGUUUGCGUGAUCAUCAAUUGGACGGCGCGGUUGAUUUGACGAAGAAGAAGACGCCUAUUCUGGUCAGUAAAAGUGAAGUGGUCAAAAAUGGUCAAACGGCGGUCAAGACCACAGCAGCAACGGCGACACUGACGAAGAAGGGUAACGUUAAGAUCGUCAAGAAAAUUGUGCCUAAAAAGAAGGUGGUGACCUCGACAAAGAAAAACCACGGCACACAAGAUCACAAAUCUAUCGUUCCACGUGAUGAAUCAGAUCGUGUUCUGGAUGAAAUUCUGCAAUCGACCGAUCAGGAAAUGCAUUCGCCAAGCGCUGAGUACCUACAGCUGUUCAAGGAAGAAAAAUCACCUAGUGAAGAUAUAUCAGAUAAAGUUGAGCAAAUAUUCCAAGAAACUGGGAUCGAUUUGGGCACACCCCAGCAGUCGCUCAACGAAAAUAAAAGGAGAUUAUUGAAAACCAAAUCACUGGGGGAGGGUGAAUUCGAACGCUACCCGAAGGAGCAAAGUUUGCAGUACGAUGAACAAGAAACUAAAGAAGAUGGCGAUCGACCAAUUGGUGUGCAAGGGUUGCUUGCACGUUUUGAAUCAAUGAGUUCUAUCAAAUCCUCGGAACAAUCGUUCAAACUGCGUCGGAUGGAAUCUACCACUAGCAAUUUAAAUAAGUCGCGUGAGUCACUCAUUUCCCAUGAUUCUAUAAUUUCGCAUGAAUCAGACUCAUUGAGUGAUCUAGAGAAGACCAUGGAAUAUUUAAGAUCAGAAUGGCGCAAUGAGGCAACCAACUUUCUGCAAAAGAAACGAGAUAAUUUCUUUUCAAAGAAACGAGCCAUUGAAGAGGAAGAGGCAGCUGCUAUAGCGGAGGCUAUGAAGAAAACGAAAUACGAUGAUUUGCCAGUGCAAUAUCGUGAAUCAAAAUUCGCCAAGUUUUUCGGCAUUAAAACCAAAUCUCCCGAAAAACUGAAAGCGCCAACAAAAAAGAAAUCGCCGGAGAAAAAAAGUGUUACAACUACGCCAAUGAAAAAAGUAGUGAAAAAUGGUGCAACGGCGAAGAAGUCACCAUCGCCAGUUAAGGACCUGAAUAAAGCAUCUGAAAUGAAAACGAAAACAUCGUCUAAUUUGCAACUUAAUGCGAAGGAUACUAAACAAAAGUCUCCUUCGCCAAUAAAAAAUCAGAAUAAAACUCUUGACAAUCUAGAGAAUACCACAAAAGGAGCUCCAAAGCAAACAAAAAUUACAAAGAAGGCAAUAUCUCCACCUAAAAAUCAAAUGGAGGACUUCGAGAUGAACUUAUUAGUGGAGAAAGGUAGUAAAACGAACACAGCGCGCCAAUUGUCACCGAAUAAUGCCCCAAAUAUUAUUGAAGAUGCAGCACCUAUCGAGUCAAAGAACAACGCAGACAUCACUUCGAAUGAGCCCAGUCCAAUGACCGAUACUGCUACUACACCAACUACGCAGUCCAAAACAUUGUCACGACAAAACUCUGACAACUUAGAUAUUCAAGCACCGCUAACUCCACCUUUGAAAAAGCGUCCGCUGGUUGAAGACAUACGAAAUUUACCGAAAACCGGUUGCGACAAAUCGCUAAGUAAUUCACGACGUAAUUCCCAAACCAGCUUACAUUCACGCCGUUGCUCAGAUGCCUCUCUGCAGGAUAAGCUAGACAGCGACGUUGCAAAGUUAACGAAAAGUUCGUCAAAGGAAUCAAAUAGAAAUGUAGAUGAACUGUUCCAAAAUAUUGUAGAACGUUUGGCAAGUAAAAAUAUAGAGCGCAAUCCUAGUGCGGAAGAGGAGUGUGACUCGCUCUGCACAUCUAUUAGCAAAAGUCCUAGUGUUGCACCGACCACAGUGCGCAUGCGUGGCUCCUCAGAGGAUGAAAGCAUUGAAAAGUUGUUCAGUCAGUUCUCUGACGAAAUGCUUGUAAAUGUGGAAUUUGAUUCAAAUGAUGAGAUAGUGGCCAUUACACCACGCCUGCCACUGGAAAGUCAAACCGAGGAGGAUAACGAUUUUGUCGAUAGACUUGAGUCAUUGGAAAAGGACGAAGUUUCUGCUGCUGACUUUGCGCCAGUUAAAAUUGAAAAAGUGUGUUCUGAAAGCGCCCAAAGUGAGAGUAAAACUGAUAAUGAGCACAAAAAUAUAAAAUCAGCGGAGACGCAAGGCUUGCAUGAAUCUGGAGCUGUUCAAAAACCUUUCACCAGUGCCCCUGCUGCCAGAGCUGGACCACUAACACUGGAAAGUAUACAAUCAAUGCUCUAUAUGGAUCCAAAAGAAACACCUUUCCCAGUCCGACCGCAACGCAGACAAAAAAGCACCUCAUCUUCUAGCGAAGCAUCGGCACCCAUUGCACCACAACGCAUUAAACAUAAAUUAGCAAAAUUAUGCCCCGAUAAUAUGCCACCAUCGGUGCAGGAUUUGAUGCAAACAGCAUUCACAAAAAGUUUGACCGCCGAACUUGCAGCAAAUGGUGGCAUUUCAUUACAUAAAUUCCCACGCAACAUAUCCGAAGAUGAAUUGGAAGAUGCGAAGUUGGAGGAAAAUAUAGAGUGUAAGGAAAAGGAACGGAAAGGAAAUCAAUAUCAAAAUAAGUCCACGACAGUAAUGAAUGUAAACCCAGUUAUUGAAAAAGAGAACAUUGUACAGAGGGCACAAACUUCUUCUGAUAAUGAGCUACAAUUUGCAAUCAGUAAAAAUUGGAAAAGUAUGAACGAUGAAGAGAUUACUGCUGUGCAGAGUAGUGAAAAUUUUGAGAUCCAUAAACCUUCUAAUGCUGAACAUAUGUCGCCACAGUCAUCAGUGGACCAAAUUACUAACAAUAAUAAUUCUUCCAUGCAGCAAAAUUUAUCACAGCCGUUGAAUGCAAACGGUUCUCCAGUAGAAGUGUGCACAUCUGCUAAACGAAAGCUUCCACAAGCACUAAUUUGCGAAGUUUAUACUCCUUCCAGAGAACCUUCUGGCACUGUGGUAUCCAGUAAUGACUUAAAUACUUUAGUCAAAGAGCCUGCAGCCGUAGGUCGAAAACAUUCAGAAGCUUCAGUUGAUGCAACAAGGAGCUCUCUGUUAGGAUCUCCAGUAGCGCAGCGAAAGUUUUCACAAACCUCAAUAAAUGAGAAAAUAGCUCUAGCUCAGGAAUCUUCUAAUGCGGUACGAAGACCAUCACAAGCAUCUAUCAAGGAACAACUUACCACACCCACAGACACUCCAUUAUUACAACGUAAAAUGUCCCAAACCUCAAUCCCCGACAAAUCUUUAACUACCAAUGAGUCGCCAGUUAUGCCGCGAAAGUUAUCGCAAGUUUCGAAUGUAGUCAUCAGUGACUCCCCAUUGAUGCAGUGGAGAUUAUCACAAGCUUUAGCUAAUACAGAAACCUCAACUCCGUCAUCUGACCAUGAAAAUCUCGUAGAUCAGGCAGAACAUUUAGAGCCACAGACCUUAUUGAAUACAUCUUUGCAUCCCGCAAAAGAAAGUCUAAAUGACACGCUGAAUGUACGACCCUCCAGUAAAGGUAGAAGUAAAGAGCGAUCUUUGGAAUGGGAUAUGACCAAAAUACUGGGAAGUCCCAUGCCACGUCGGAAAUUUGUGCAUGCCGAACGUCGUGGUGUCGAAGAUGCUAGAAUUAAAGACGUUUCGCCAACAAGUUCGAUAAAAAUGCUCAAUAAUCUUUCUUCCAACAGCAGUGAUUCCGAAGAACGUCGUAUAAUUGAAGAUUUCGAAAUGGAAAGACGUCAGGCUUUGAUACAGCGUGACAAAGAUUACCAAGAGUUAACGAAAAAAGAAAAAGAAAAUAAAACUAUACAGAAAGAAAAGAAAACAAACGAAAUUAAAGUCAGCAGUAGGAACAAUUCUAAAGGCAAUACUCCACUACCAACGCCGCGUAGCUCGCGCCGCGGCACACAAGAUAGCAUUAGCACACAAAGAGAGGGCACACCGCCAAACUUCAAGAAGCUUUCAAUUCCAUCAGAAUCUGAAGAUCUGCCCUCGCUCAGUUCUCGUUGUAGCUCAUUUGCACUUAUCGAGCUCAUGAGUAACGGGGAGGCGAGAGAAGCGCCGUUACCACAAAAGCUAAAAAUACCUACAAAACCGCAGCCCAUAAUUGUGCCAGAUAUUUCAGAACCCAUAGCCGAAGUAUUUCAAAAUCGGCCGUGGCCUAAGCCGGAGCUUUCACCAGAAAUUGAUACGAGCGAAUCUCCCGAUACAGUAAUUGAGAUCAAAUGCACGGAAACAGCACCAAAAUCACCAGUACCCGAGGUGUUUCGCAAUCGCAAAUGGCCUGAUGGCAACACGAUAUUUGAUGAAACGGAUGGGAAACACUCCGACGAUCAGGACUCGCUCAGAGAAAUCUCAAGGAAUAGAAAGAAAUUUAGAAAAUUACAAUCACACUCACCCCAAUCGAGUCGCCGACAUAGACUAACUGCCGAUGAGCUUAAUGAUCAUAAGUCCACUUCAAGGUCGAUCUCAGAUUUACGCAAUGAUUCGCCAAACACCAACUCGAUGUAUGAUUCUGAACACUCAUUCAAUCUUGGUGUACCUUCAUCUCGUUCGAGUGCCGAAAACUCCAUAUCGCAUACAUCGACCAGUGAAGCACCAAAGCGCCCGAUGCGACACAUACCAGUUGGCCAAACCUCUGAGCAAUCGAUAGAUGCCAGCACGCGCAUGUUGCUAGACCGUAGCAAACGCUUGCAUAAUCGUAAAAGUGAGUUCAUCAAUGAACGUGCCGCCGAACGAAAUCCCUAUUUACGUAAUACAGUCAGAACAGAGCGUCUGGAACGUGAGGCACUCGAGGCGGCAGAAGAUGAGCUAGAUUGUUAUCGGCCAAGUGGUUAUAGAGCCAAACAGCUGACACGUUUUCCAACAUCGCGAGCGCUCGGACGCGAGCGGCCGAUUAGUCAUUACAAUUACACACCUACCUAUAAUACAGACUACGGACUGAGCAAUAGACGCCUGUAUGGCACCGCAACAUUGCCUACAAGUACUUCUUCAUUGGACUAUAAUCCAUAUCUAAGCAGUGGCAGUCUGGGUUAUGGCAGUUCCAUUGGACGCAGCAUGCAUUUCAACGACUACCCCAAACGUAGUCCUUCGCGCCAUCGCGAGCGGGAACACUCCAAAGAAUCUAGAUUUUGGAGAUAUUAACAUGAUGAUUAAAACGUACAAAAACAAAAGGAAAGCGGAAAACCUCAAAAGAAAUUAACUCCGUAUACACACCUAUACUUUAUAUAGUCUACACACAUAUAUAAAUUGAGAAAAAAUAUUAAAAAUAUACAUGUAUACUAAUAAGAAAUUUAAAAAAAAAGUAAUUAUAUGAUAAACAUCAAACAAAAAAUACGAAUGGUGUGAAACCAACGCCAUAUUGAAUUCUACACGAAAUUACUACUCACAAUUAUCAAAAAUUAGAAAUAAAAAACGCACCAAAACAUUAAAACAUUAGCUAUUUUAAUUGAAAAACAUAAAAAACAUAAACAAAAAUAAACAACCAAAACAUCUGUCUAAAUGCCCGUACGUACGACCUCCCAACGACCAACCAACGUACCAAGCAACCAACAGCCACUCAACCAAAAACGUCUGCCUAACCGCCCGCCAGCUUGUUUACGCUCGGUGUGCCUAAAAAACAAACAAAAAAAUUUAAAAUGAAAAACAUCCUUGAAUGCGGUUAACAAAACUCUCUCCCACAUUUCAAAUUUUAAGACGGGAAGGAAUUGAGAAAGCUAAAAAAUUAUAAAGCGCUAAAGAGAGAAUUGAUUGAGUCAUAAUGCUCAACGGGUACGAUCUUUGAAGGUUCAAAGCGAAUCGGAGUCUUCUUCUCCCGAGGAGGUUGAGCUCAAUUCUGCCACGGAGAUAUCUACUGAUUCGGAAUUCGACCAUGACG
Anastrepha ludens (Mexican fruit fly) is the source of this 12420-nucleotide RNA transcript. It is a transcript of the gene named F-actin-monooxygenase Mical, with no coding region annotated. NCBI's taxonomy places the organism in Eukaryota, Metazoa, Arthropoda, Insecta, Diptera, Tephritidae. The transcript has 17 exons. The record is from RefSeq and is a predicted model, not a curated record.